Molecule: ribosomal RNA, 440 nt
Filed under: uncultured bacterium
Lineage: Bacteria
Description: partial 16S ribosomal RNA
Rfam family: Bacterial small subunit ribosomal RNA
Source: RNAcentral
CCUACGGGUGGCAGCAGUGGGGAAUAUUGCACAAUGGGGGAAACCCUGAUGCAGCGACGCCGCGUGAGGGAAGAAGUAUUUCGGUAUGUAAACCUCUAUCAGCCGGGGAGAAAAUGACGGUACCUGACUAAGAAGCCCCUGCUAAAUACGUGCCAGCAGCCGCGGUAAUACGUAGGGGGCAAGCGUUAUCCGGAUUUACUGGGUGUAAAGGGAGGGUAGGCGGUAGAGCAAGUCGGGAGUGAAAGGCGGGGGCUCAAACCCCGGACUGCUGUUGAAACUGUUGAACUAGAGUGCAGGAGAGGUAAGUGGAAUGCCUAGUGUAGCGGUGAAAUGCGUAGAUAUUAGGAGGAACACCAGUGGCGAAGGCGGCUUACUGGACUGUAACUGACGCUGAGGCACGAAAGCGUGGGGAGCAAACAGGAUUAGAUACCCGGGUAGUC